Molecule: ribosomal RNA, 443 nt
Filed under: uncultured bacterium
Lineage: Bacteria
Description: bacterial SSU rRNA
Rfam family: Bacterial small subunit ribosomal RNA
Source: RNAcentral
UGGGGAAUCUUGGACAAUGGGGGCAACCCUGAUCCAGCCAUGCCGCGUGAGUGAUGAAGGCCUUAGGGUCGUAAAGCUCUUUCGCCUGUGAAGAUAAUGACGGUAGCAGGUAAAGAAACCCCGGCUAACUCCGUGCCAGCAGCCGCGGUAAUACGAAGGGGGCUAGCGUUGUUCGGAUUUACUGGGCGUAAAGCGCACGUAGGCGGAUCGUUAAGUGAGGGGUGAAAUCCCAGGGCUCAACCCUGGAACUGCCUCUCAUACUGGCGAUCUGGAGUUCGAGAGAGGUGAGUGGAAUUCCGAGUGUAGAGGUGAAAUUCGUAGAUAUUCGGAGGAACACCAGUGGCGAAGGCGGCUCACUGGCUCGAUACUGACGCUGAGGUGCGAAAGUGUGGGGAGCAAACAGGAUUAGAUACCCUGGUAGUCCACACCGUAAACGAUGAAUG